Long non-coding RNA from Calypte anna (Anna's hummingbird), 1350 nucleotides. RefSeq lists it as uncharacterized. The transcript has 4 exons. The record is from RefSeq and is a predicted model, not a curated record. Lineage: Eukaryota; Metazoa; Chordata; Aves; Apodiformes; Trochilidae.
UAAACAUACUUAAUGAUAGCAGAAAGUGUACAGUGUAUGAUGAUUAAAGAUCAAUUCCUCUACAGCUUCAAUAUAUUCUAGGAUGAUGAAGUUCUGUUACUUGGUAUUCCAGAAGCUGGAAUUGAUGUUGAAGUUCAACAACCUGUAAGCCCACCUAAGGAGAUUUCUUUUUAAUUAGGGGAAAAAAUAGAUCCUACUUUUUGGAACAUUACAAUCUGUGAGGAGCACAUUUUUCAAGAUGUGAAGGAGGGAAUAGUGGUUGGAAAAAAACACAGCUGCAGUUGGUCAUUAUCAGCUAAGGUGUAAGUACAGGAAAGUAGGUGGGACUUGGAGAAGGUGCAGAGUGCUACAGCCUGUGUGAGCCCCUCUCCUUUUGAUGGUGAGGGACAGAGCUGUUGAACUUUGCAGCCCUGACUGCUGCUAGGAUGAGUUUCUGCCUUUCUUUGGUUGGUUUAUUGCAUUGGUGUUUUGAAUGGUUCUUCCUUUAUAUUAAUUGUUUGUCUCUUCUCUCAGCAGAGUAUGGGCAAUGGAAUGUAAGAAGAGAGACCAUGGGAACAAGGUCUGUCAGAGAGAGGAGAAGCCUCAAGAUUUAACCCACACAGUGCUCAGGUUUCAAAUGCCCACAAUUAAUGAAACUGAGACAGAGGAAAUAUGGAAGAACACAGCAGAGUACUCUCAAGCAAACUGGACCAGUCAGACCUUGGUGAGUGUUACUGGAUGGAGGGGUCAGUGAGAAGCUGCACAAGCCUUGCAGUGCCUGAGGAGUCCAUUCACACUCCACGUUCCAGCUCUCUGCAGCAUCUUCUGAGUACAGUUGCUUCAGGACUGGCUGGAGAACAGAAGUUGGCAAAGCACAGCACCCCACUCUCCUCUGAGCAAAAGGAAGCCUGAGGAGGUACAGACACCAUUUGUACACAGCUGUGAGUGGCACGGAAUGGACACGGGGUCUCCAGUUCUUUAUGGUAAGGAUGAGACUUAUUUUCCAUCAUCUUCAUGCUCCCAUGUCCUUAAUGUGUUCCCCAGGCCUUCUCACUAUCAGACUGAACCUCUCAGAUGCAAAGUAGCAGAAAGUAAAGCAAUUUGAACUCCUUUGAGCAGCUCUGGUGGCUUAGGGAGUUCUUUCAUUCCUGAAAGAAAACAAGCAGCUUGUUAGAAAAACACACAACCUUGUAUCUGAGUAUAAAUCAGACCUGCCUGGUGUCAUUACCUAUUUACUGCCUGUACCAGCCUGACUGAGGUGUCUCAAGUGGCUCUGAGCUGUUAAGGGGCAGAGGUGGGAACUGGCACAGCUCACUGUCUCCAGUAAAUACAAAAACAAGGACAGUAGCUUUUUUUUUUUAGACUUGCAAA